Molecule: long non-coding RNA, 689 nt
Organism: Ostrea edulis (European flat oyster)
Lineage: Eukaryota; Metazoa; Mollusca; Bivalvia; Ostreida; Ostreidae
Exons: 2
Source: RefSeq, a predicted model, not a curated record
UUUAGUUGCUAGUAUAAAAGAGACCGGUUUGGCUGGCUGUAAGUUUGAUAGGGCACGGUAACGACAUCAGCCGGGUGCCACGUUGACAGGUCCUGGAAGUUCAGGGGAUAGUUAUUUUCCUGUCAUAUUUUAUGUAGGACAUUUGAAGAAAUAUAACUACUGAAAUAGGAGUUUGUUUGGAGGGCACAUCUUUUUCCUAGCCGUGCAUACAUGGGUGUUUAACAAAACCAGUUUCAACCCGAAGGCAGGCAGAGAGUUGCGGGAUUCAGAUAUACGGAGGUCGAUGCAGAUAUAGUGCUACAAUAUGGAAGGACGUGGUGUAGCUCCGGAGAGGAUAACCCGAGACUUGGGAGGCAUCGGAACCGGUUCUGGGCGUGCUUAUCGCAAGUUGGUGGGAAACAGGAACAGUGUCUUCAGAGUGCAGAUUAGUUACAUUAUAAAGUUAAAGUAACUCGAAAUUUAGAAACAAAACCAAAGAAUAUUAUAUUACAGAAAGGGAGAAUUGAAUAUUUGGAAUUUUUUCCUAAUUAUACUAUUUUUGAAUAUUGUUUUAACUUGAAAAGUUAAUACCUGUACAUUUGCUUUACAUCUGAUACGUACUAUCGGACUUUUCAAAAGAACUGUUUACAACGUAUCGGAUAUCUAUAUUGUCAAUUGUUUAUUCAUGUAAAUUUGUGUUGAGAUUGAAA